GACGGAGGGUGCUAGCGUUGUUCGGAAUUACUGGGCGUAAAGGGCGCGUAGGCGGCCGCUUAAGUCGGGUGUGAAAGCCCGGGGCUCAACCCCGGAACUGCAUCCGAGACUGGGUGGCUGGAGAUCGGGAGAGGAGAGUGGAAUACCCAGUGUAGAGGUGAAAUUCGUAGAUAUUGGGUGGAACACCGGUGGCGAAAGCGGCUCUCUGGCCCGAUUCUGACGCUGAGGCGCGAAAGCGUGGGGAGCAAACAGG
This 253-nucleotide ribosomal RNA is filed under the name uncultured bacterium. RNAcentral describes it as "partial 16S ribosomal RNA". It matches the Rfam family "Bacterial small subunit ribosomal RNA", at positions 524 to 776 of the family's 1533-position model. The record is from RNAcentral.